RNAcentral lists this transfer RNA (71 nucleotides) under Bos taurus (domestic cattle). It matches the Rfam family "tRNA". Rfam says of the family: Transfer RNA (tRNA) molecules are approximately 80 nucleotides in length. Their secondary structure includes four short double-helical elements and three loops (D, anti-codon, and T loops). Lineage: Eukaryota; Metazoa; Chordata; Mammalia; Artiodactyla; Bovidae. RNAcentral also lists the same sequence under 1 other name. The record is from Rfam by way of RNAcentral.
UCCUGGGUGGCUCAGUGAUAAAGAAUCUGCCAGCCAAGCAGGAGACUCAGGUUCAAUCCCUGGGUCAGGAA